Molecule: ribosomal RNA, 857 nt
Filed under: uncultured bacterium
Lineage: Bacteria
Description: bacterial SSU rRNA
Rfam family: Bacterial small subunit ribosomal RNA
Source: RNAcentral
UACGGAGGGUGCAAGCGUUACUCGGAAUCACUGGGCGUAAAGCGCAUGCAGGCGGCCAGAUAAGUUGGAAGUGAAAGCCUACGGCUCAACCGUAGAACUGCUUCCAAAACUGUUUGGCUAGAGUCUGGGAGGGGAAGAUGGAAUUAGUAGUGUAGGGGUAAAAUCCGUAGAGAUUACUAGGAAUACCAAAAGCGAAGGCGAUCUUCUGGAACAGUACUGACGCUGAGAUGCGAAAGCGUGGGGAGCAAACAGGAUUAGAUACCCCUGGUAGUCCACGCAGUAAACGAUGAAUGUUAGUCGUUGGUAUCCUAGAGAUAUCAGUGAUGCAGUUAACACAUUAAACAUUCCGCCUGGGGAGUACGGUCGCAAGAUUAAAACUCAAAGGAAUAGACGGGGACCCGCACAAGUGGUGGAGCAUGUGGUUUAAUUCGAAGAUACGCGAAGAACCUUACCUAGCCUUGACAUAUUUUAGAACUCACCAGAGAUGGAGAGGUGCCUUCGGGAGCUAAUUUACAGGUGCUGCACGGCUGUCGUCAGCUCGUGUCGUGAGAUGUUGGGUUAAGUCCCGCAACGAGCGCAACCCUCGUCACUAGUUACUAACGGUUCGGCCGAGGACUCUAGUGAGACUGCCUUCGUAAGGAGGAGGAAGGUGAGGACGACGUCAAGUCAUCAUGGCCCUUACGGCUAGGGCAACACACGUGCUACAAUGGUUAGGACAAUGAGAAGCAAUAUCGCGAGGUGGAGCAAAUCUAUAAACCUAAUCUCAGUUCGGAUUGUAGUCUGCAACUCGACUACAUGAAGCUGGAAUCACUAGUAAUCGUAGAUCAGCUAUGCUACGGUGAAUACGUUCCCGGGUC